This is a non-coding RNA of Odocoileus virginianus texanus, 1396 nucleotides long. Lineage: Eukaryota; Metazoa; Chordata; Mammalia; Artiodactyla; Cervidae. The record is from RefSeq and is a predicted model, not a curated record.
UGGGGUCGCAGAGUCAGAUAUGACUUAGUGACUGAACAUGACAUAACAGAAAACAAAGUCCCUAAAAGAAAAGGACUAGUGUCACCAAGGAGGCUUGCAGACCCCCGCCCGCACACCCACUCCAGAGUCCCUGUGCAGUGUGCUGUGGGUGGGAGGAGUCACACCAGGCUGGAGGUGACCAGGAUUGCUUUGUAUGACCUGUGUCUUUACCCUCAGAGAAGGUAGCAGGGCCUGGAACCAACGGCCAGCCCACGCCGCCCUGGAUCCCCGUGGGGCGCCAGAAGCGCCGAGGACCUCUGGAGCAGCCUCCCAGCCAGGAAGACAAACCUGCGGCCCGGACCUUGAAGUCUGACACAGGAAGGCCAGCCAAGGCACCCGAGAGAACCCAGGUGCUUCGAGUGGACCCUGCGUCUCCCUGUGUGUGCAGUGGAGCACCCCAGGAGCCCGUGAAGCAAGCCGACUUUGUCCGCAGCAAGUCUUUCCUGAUGACCCCAGCCAAGCCUCCUGUGGACCAGAGGCAGGGGACAAAGCUCCGCCUCCAGGAGGGGCUGCAAAGAGGAAUCUCCUUGUCCCAUCAGAAUUUGGCAGCGCAGUCGGCAGUGAUGAUGGAGAAGGAGCUGCAUCAGCUGAAGCGCGCCAGCUAUAGCAGCACAGACCAGCCCUCCUGGAUGGAACUGGCCAGAAAGAAAUCGCAAGCUUGGAGUGACAUGCCCCAAAUUAUAAAAUAGGUUUACCAGUGCUCUGGUAAAGAAUGUCUACUUCCUUGACGAGUCACUUCCUUUCAAACUGCCACUCAAUCAAGGCAAACAAACUGUGAAACUGAAGAGCGAUUUUAUCAUCAGGUUUCGAGAGAGCAAGCUCAGGGAAGAGGGCGGAACCAGGCAAACGAGUCCGACGGACGCUCGGCCCCGGGCCAGAGACGCCCGAAGACAAGAACCCAUUGAAAAGGGCCAGGACCGAGGUCUGUGCCCACAGGUAUGAAUGUGAGUCUUUCAGAGUCCCCCGGAGAGAGGGGGCUCAGGCAGGGGAAGAAAUGCAGAUGAAGCGCGGAUACGGAACUCAGGUGGCCUUCCAGGAGAACGCGUGCCCGUGCCGCCGCCAGAGAUCAGCUUGUGUCUCUGGGUCCCCGUCCUGCCUGCGGAGCCUGUCUUCUCCUUUCACGUUUACCGUUAGGCAUGACAUUCAUGGUGAAACAGAGACGUCGUUUUUUCCAAGAGCAGCUAUCGCACGGUCCACUUUCCUGAAGGCAGCCAGCCCGCGAAGGAGUGGAAGGAACACAGCAGGCUCCAUCGACUCAUAGACUCCUUCCAAAAUCAGUUUUUAAACUUCUCCACUCAUCCAUGUCCUUCACCAUUGAACAAUGCAUUGCCUGUCGAAUAAAAGGUUUCAGACCUGA